UACAUAGGGUGCAAGCGUUAUCCGGAAUUAUUGGGCGUAAAGAGUCCGCAGGUGGUUUGUUAAGUUUGGAGUUAAAGACCGAGGCUCAACCUCGGCCCGCUUUGGAUACUGGCAGACUAGAGUUAUGAAGAGGUUAGUGGAACUCCAUAUGGAGCGGUGGAAUGCGUAGAUAUAUGGAAGAACACCAAAGGCGAAGGCAACUAACUGGUCAUAUACUGACACUCAGGGACGAAAGUGUGGGGAGCAAACAGG
This 252-nucleotide ribosomal RNA is filed under the name uncultured bacterium. RNAcentral describes it as "partial 16S ribosomal RNA". It matches the Rfam family "Bacterial small subunit ribosomal RNA", at positions 524 to 776 of the family's 1533-position model. The record is from RNAcentral.